AUUGAACGCUGGCGGCAUGCCUUACACAUGCAAGUCGAACGGUAACGGGUCCUUCGGGAUGCCGACAAGUGGCGAACGGGUGAGUAAUAUAUCGGAACGUGCCCAGUAGUGGGGGAUAACUGCUCGAAAGAGCAGCUAAUACCGCAUACGACCUGAGGGUGAAAGGGGGGGAUCGCAAGACCUCUCGCUAUUGGAGCGGCCGAUAUCAGAUUAGCUAGUUGGUGGGGUAAAGGCCUACCAAGGCAACGAUCUGUAGUUGGUCUGAGAGGACGACCAGCCACACUGGGACUGAGACACGGCCCAUACUCCUACGGGAGGCAGCAGUGGGGAAUUUUGGACAAUGGGCGCAAGCCUGAUCCAUCAAUGCCGCGUGCAGGAAGAAGGCCUUCGGGUUGUAAACUGCUUUUGUCAGGGAAGAAAUCUUCUGGGCUAAUACCCCGGGAGGAUGACGGUACCUGAAGAAUAAGCACCGGCUAACUACGUGCCAGCAGCCGCGGUAAUACGUAGGGUGCGAGCGUUAAUCGGAAUUACUGGGCGUAAAGCGUGCGCAGGCGGCUUUGCAAGACAGAUGUGAAAUCCCCGGGCUCAACCUGGGAGCUGCAUUUGUGACUGCAAGGCUAGAGUACGGCAGAGGGGGAUGGAAUUCCGCGUGUAGCAGUGAAAUGCGUAGAUAUGCGGAGGAACACCAAUGGCGAAGGCAAUCCCCUGGGCCUGUACUGACGCUCAUGCACGAAAGCGUGGGGAGCAAACGGGAUUAGAUACCCUGGUAGUCCACGCCCUAAACGAUGUCAACUGGUUGUUGGACGGCUUGCUGUUCAGUAACGAAGCUAACGCGUGAAGUUGACCGCCUGGGGAGUACGGCCGCAAGGUUGAAACUCAAAGGAGUUGACGGGGACCCGCACAAGCGGUGGAUGAUGUGGUUUAGUUCGAUGCAACGCGAAAAACCUUACCUACCCUUGACAUGUCAAGAAUUCUGCAGAGAUGUGGAAGUGCUCGAAAGAGAACUUGAACACAGGUGCUGCAUGGCCGUCGUCAGCUCGUGUCGUGAGAUGUUGGGUUAAGUCCCGCAACGAGCGCAACCCUUGUCAUUAGUUGCUACGCAAGAGCACUCUAAUGAGACUGCCGGUGACAAACCGGAGGAAGGUGGGGAUGACGUCAGGUCCUCAUGGCCCUUAUGGGUAGGGCUACACACGUCAUACAAUGGCCGGUACAGAGGGCUGCCAACCCGCGAGGGGGAGCCAAUCCCAGAAAACCGGUCGUAGUCCGGAUCGUAGUCUGCAACUCGACUGCGUGAAGUCGGAAUCGCUAGUAAUCGCGGAUCAGCUUGCCGCGGUGAAUACGUUCCCGGGUCU
Molecule: ribosomal RNA, 1352 nt
Filed under: uncultured bacterium
Lineage: Bacteria
Description: bacterial SSU rRNA
Rfam family: Bacterial small subunit ribosomal RNA
Source: RNAcentral